CAGUUGUCUGAACUUCCUGUUAUUGAAACCGAAAGUCGAAUAUUUGGCGACAGUGAGUGUAGUGAACGUUUUGUUGACACGUGAGCAGACAUGUUGGAUAUUCUGCUGCUUGAAACUCUGGAAGACUUGGGCAAAGAGGACUUUGGAAGGUUUAAGUGGUUCCUCAAUCAUGAGAUCGUGGAUGGCUGCAAACCCAUUCCCGUGUCCAAACUGGAAGACGCAAACCAGUUGAAGACUGUGACACAGAUGAUCAGCAGCUACGGUAAAGAAACGGCCGUGAACGUCACUGUUGCGGUUCUGAAGAAGAUGAGAAACAAUCAUGCUGCGGAGAAGUUGAUGAGAAGUACACAGGAGAGAUGACAAAAGCUGCACCCUCCGCCUCCUCCUCCUCCUCCUCUGCUGCUGCUGCACCUCCUGCUGUCGCCACGAUGUCGGCUCAGAACGGGAGUGUGAUCAUCGCUCCGUCAAUUGGUGGCACAGUUCACACAAUGAACUUUACCGUCCAUAAACGAGCACAACAAGACUGAAAUAUGGGAAUAGAUUAUACUAUUUGAUACUGAUUGACUUCUACAAAAGUUCACAAAACAAUGACAUGUUCCAAGUAAAAUUGACAUUUUAACUGUUAGAGUCCUCCAACAGUGCAAGACAAUUUUCUUAAAGUCUCCAGAUUUAACAUUAAUUAGCGGUACAAACAUUAUUAACACACAAUAACAUACACACCUUGAUAUAUCACACUAUGUUGUAGUUAUAAGCAGAUAAAACGAACUUUUUAAUGUCUUAAAACGCACACCCAAUGAAGACACAUUUUCUAAUAACAGCCGAGAUGUGCAAACACACUUCAACAGCUAAAUUCCAUUAGGAGAAACACCUGAAGUUUGAAAAAACAACACGCGUCAAAAGACAUGCAAAUGUAGGAACAUUUACACCAAUUUGACGACACAUGCGCAGCGUUCACUAAAAGCGUUGCAUAAGUGAAGCACUGCAAAAACAAAACACUGCAAGUAGCCUAGAACACAACGGGAAAGGGGACACAAAAAGGGGGUGCAACCUCUAUUCCGACAUCCCCCUAUUCCAACAUGCCUCGAUUACGACAUGCCUCUAUUCCAUGGAUUCGGGAGGGCUAUCAGAGGCGUCCAUGAGGGAGGAAGGGGGCCCUGCGUGUCUGACAGUGUCAACUACCGCUCCGAAUGCUUCCACUUAAGUGGAGCUAUGCAGACCCAACUAACCAUGUCAGAAUGGCGGAAUGUUUGAAAUAAAGUAAAGUGCCGCUACUCCGACAAUGGAAAAAAUGUUGUCGGAGUAGUGGCACGUUUAAAAAAAAAGGAAAUGCCACUACUCCGACAAUUAGACGUCAAUGUCGGAGUAGAGGUAUGUCGGAAUAGCAGCAUGUAACCACAAAAAAGUGACGCACACAGCGGGGACCAGAUAAUUAUUGAUGUUCGGGGAUUAUAAGGUUGGCCAACUGUCAAUGUUUUUGAACACUCACCUAAAAUGUACUUUUUAUUGGCUUAUUUUAACAAUGUGAUCACAUGACUCCUUCUGAUAUUAUUGCAGAUUUGCUGUAAGCUAGCUAGCUAACGUACAAACAAAACACUUGAAACGUCAAUAAGCGCUCUGUGUGCAUCACUUUUUAGUGUCCCCGUCGUUUCCGCUGUGUUUUGAGUUUGAGUUAUAAAGCAAUAAUUCAAUGUCAAAACAAUGCUUUUUAUUUCUUUAGUUGUUGUUGUUAAGACCAGAGCAAACCCAAGUCUCAUGAUGACCAAAUACAGUUUGUGACAAUGACAUGACACAAUACUUGACUGAAUGUAAAUUUUAGACCAAGUAACCUUUUUUACAUUUUCUAAAUCAUACUUUGUGCCAAAUAAAAAACAACAACAGCA
Long non-coding RNA from Eleginops maclovinus (Patagonian blennie), 1880 nucleotides. RefSeq lists it as uncharacterized. The transcript has 3 exons. Lineage: Eukaryota; Metazoa; Chordata; Actinopteri; Perciformes; Eleginopidae. The record is from RefSeq and is a predicted model, not a curated record.